AAUCUUGCGCAAUGGGCGAAAGCCUGACGCAGCAACGCCGCGUGAACGAUGAAGGCCUUCGGGUCGUAAAGUUCUGUCAGGGGGGAAGAAUAAAUGACGGUACCCCCGGAGGAAGCCCCGGCUAACUCCGUGCCAGCAGCCGCGGUAAUACGGAGGGGGCAAGCGUUGUUCGGAUUUACUGGGCGUAAAGGGCGCGUAGGCGGAUGUUCGCGUCAGAGGUGAAAGCCCCGGGCUCAACCUGGGAACUGCCUUUGAAACGGGACAUCUUGAGUUCGGAAGAGGGUAGCGGAAUUCCCAGUGUAGAGGUGAAAUUCGUAGAUAUUGGGAAGAACACCAGUAGCGAAGGCGGCUACCUGGUCCGACACUGACGCUGAGGCGCGAAAGCGUGGGGAGCAAAC
RNAcentral lists this ribosomal RNA (398 nucleotides) under uncultured bacterium. Its description in RNAcentral is "partial 16S ribosomal RNA". It matches the Rfam family "Bacterial small subunit ribosomal RNA", at positions 360 to 773 of the family's 1533-position model. The record is from RNAcentral.